AGGUGGUUAUGGCGCAGAUGCCCCACCCGAUCCCAUUCCGAACUCGGCCGUGAAAGUCUGCAGCGCCGAUGGUACUUUGUCUUAAGGCACGGGAGAGUAGGUCGCUGCCUGGUC
Molecule: ribosomal RNA, 114 nt
Filed under: SAR116 cluster alpha proteobacterium HIMB100
Lineage: Bacteria; Pseudomonadati; Pseudomonadota; Alphaproteobacteria; Puniceispirillales (SeqCode)
Source: RNAcentral